UAAUCCCAUCUGGAAUGAUUGAUUGAUCCAUUGAUGUGAAUCCUGAUGACAGAGAUCCAUGUUCCUGUUGGAGUCAGUGGUUGCAUUUCCAUAGAAACACUUUGCAUCAGCAGCUCCAUGCUCCAGUGCUCUGGGAGACUUUAUAGUCCUGAGUGUUGAAGACUGGAUGACUGACAGCUGUCCUUCAUCACAGCAGAAGACACAGAAAUCCUCCUCCUCCUCCUCAGUCAAACCAUGACUUUGAUCUGCGUCCUCAUCUGGACUCUCCUCUGCUUCAUUCAGGGUUCUGUUGGACAAAAUGUUGUUUUGACUCAGCCAGCAGCUAAAUCAGUGCAGCUCAAUCAAAAGGUCACUAUUGACUGUAAGGCCAGUCGACAAGUAGCUCACUAUUCAGGUUCACAAUAUUAUCUUUCCUGGUACCAUCAGAAAUCUGGAGAAGCUCCUAAAGCUCUGAUCUCCAGAACAUCAGACAGAUUUUCAGGAAUCUCCUCCAGAUUCAGUGGAAGUGGAUCAGGAAAUGGAAUUGACUUCACUCUGACCAUCAGUGGAGUCCAGGCUGAAGAUUCAGGAGUUUAUUACUGUCAGAGUUAUCAUAGCGGUGAUGUGUUCACACAGUGA
Molecule: non-coding RNA, 618 nt
Organism: Oryzias latipes (Japanese medaka)
Lineage: Eukaryota; Metazoa; Chordata; Actinopteri; Beloniformes; Adrianichthyidae
Source: the annotation of a RefSeq genome assembly